RNAcentral lists this ribosomal RNA (253 nucleotides) under uncultured bacterium. RNAcentral describes it as "partial 16S ribosomal RNA". It matches the Rfam family "Bacterial small subunit ribosomal RNA", at positions 524 to 776 of the family's 1533-position model. The record is from RNAcentral.
GACGAACCGAGCGAACGUUGUUCGGAAUCACUGGGCUUAAAGGGCGCGUAGGCGGGCAUUCAAGUCUAUGGUGAAAUCCGGCAGCUCAACUGUCGAAUUGCCGUGGAUACUGGGUGUCUCGAGGGAGGUAGGGGCAUGCGGAACUAACGGUGGAGCGGUGAAAUGCGUUGAUAUCGUUAGGAACUCCGGUGGCGAAGGCGGCAUGCUGGACCUUUUCUGACGCUGAGGCGCGAAAGCCAGGGGAGCAAACGGG